This is a long non-coding RNA of Tigriopus californicus, 3298 nucleotides long. RefSeq lists it as uncharacterized. The record is from RefSeq and is a predicted model, not a curated record. The transcript is spliced from 3 exons. Lineage: Eukaryota; Metazoa; Arthropoda; Copepoda; Harpacticoida; Harpacticidae.
ACCACAGUUGGUUUAGUUGGCAUCAAUUUCGAUAUGCGCAUGAACCCUGCAUAUGGCACUACGCUCAAGAUGUUUUGAACAGUGUAAAACAAUAAUGCAGCUUUGGUGAAAAUCCCUGGAGCUAAUCCAAGACUACACCAAUUGAAGAUGCAGCUUGAGGAUUAGACGCUCUUUCGUUUCUUCUCAAGGCAAGGCGCUAAGACCUCGCCAUGGUCAUUGCAAGCCUCAGCAUCAGUCUUUGAAUCACUGAAUGAAUAGAUGGAUCAAAAUCAGAAGCAUCCAGCCAGUAACCAUCGAUUACGAGCCCAGUGACCAAAAAAUGAAUAAAUCGUCGACUCCGGCCAUGGGAGGAGGGCCCCAAAACUCGAAAUGCGGCGCGACUUUUUUUCAUGGGCUGCUUGUUUGUUCUCGAUCCAUAUCCAUCUUGGGAUGAGGCUUUGAUUGCGGUCAGUUCAAGCAUAAAUUACCCUCUCCAUGAUUUGAUGACAGGCCACAAGAUGAAGUGAGUGGAGCCAGCCAAGCAGUCAGCAUUAGACAUCGCCUCUAUUUUUGGGUACACCAGCUCAAGACCGAGCUCAUCUAGAUCUUGUUUGUACUUGAUCCAGUGGUGGUAGAAAACAGAGCGCUCAUUGAUGCCCCCCCCCUUCAUUAAAGGCGGCUCAUUGAAAAUCUAGGCCUAGUGAUUCUCACCAUAUGACCGACCAUAUGACUAGAACAAAAUCACGACCGAAUCCUUCUUCUUCAUGAUGCAUAAUCAUCAUGAAGAAAUCUAAGCAAAAUGUACACAAGUGGAGUAGGCAUCAGUAGUAGUAGUAGUAGAAGAAGAAACUGCAACAGUUCCUGAUGAUACCCCCUUUGGUGAAUGGUCGGACGGACGGACGGACGGACGGAUGGGUUGAUGGGUGGGUAGGUAGGUAAGUAAGUAGGUUGGUAGAUAAUGGUAAAUGGUGGUUGCUGGAUGUGGUGUUGACUAAUAAAGAGAAGAAUUAUCUCGACGGAGUGACCGCAACGUUGAUGAAAACCCCUUGCGUUGCCCAGCGUUGCCUGCUUAACUUGAUGCAAAUCUAAUUCUCCUUUUUAAGUCUAGGAAAUUGAGAUCAUAAAAACGGGAUUCUACUUCCACUACGAAUUUUUACGACGUCUCUCCGAGCAACGGUUUCCUCCGUAAGCAUUGGCCUGAGAUGAAUCUAUCUAAAAAAGGGUCUCGACAUUUCAGGUGUUGACUGCGGAUCCACUUCGUUUUCCCUGUCUGAGGCUGUGUUUAUGAGAGAGAUUCCCAGAUCAGACCUCGUGAUGGAACCAACCUAGAAGGUGAUCUUCAUGGCCAUCGUGAUCAAGAAGAUCUUGACGAUGAUCCUGGUAACCCGGGUUCGGUCACCAAGCACGACUAUAACCACAUCAAUGCAUUCUUUGCGUUGUUUGGAUGGUGAUCAGAGCUCCACGCUAUCGCUCUCCAGCAUCUCUGUGGGCUGUCUACACCUGAACCCCAAAGAAUCCACGCUAUCCAAGUUAAAGCGCGUGCACCAAAUAGCAUGGUGAGUCUUUCUUAUUGGCCAAGAUUCAUUGUUUCAAGCUUUCAAGCUGCUGCUGAUGUUGGUCGUCAUCGUCGCUGUUGUUGCUUCCCGUUCCUCCCAAGUUCAAAUAGCGAGUUACUCGGGAGCCUUAGUAGACGUACGAAAUGGGAGCAUGGCUUGAACCUUCGUGCCCCCCCCCUCCCCCCUGCGUCCCUGGAAGCCUUCACAAUCCACACAGAGGACCACCACGGUCUCUACGUGCUUGUCGACAUCAUCGUUGAAAGCAUGGUAAAUCUGAUAAGCAAAGACGAUAAGCCGGAGAAAUGUAUGGAAAAAACUGCUCUUCGACGACGAUGAUCAUGAGAGAUCGAUGGAUGAAGACGAGGAAACCAGCCCGCAAUGAACUAACCAACCGACUAAGCCACCAUCCCACCAAUCCACUACAUAAGUAGAGAGAUGGAUGUUGAGAAGCCGACCGAUGAUGUGAAAUUCGUCCGGGGAGAGAUGAUUCUUAAUGAACUUGGCAUUUUCUAAACCGUAACACCGGGGCAAGGGAUCAACAACGAAUGAACGAGUGUCUCUUUGAAAAACCUUUUGGGCUCGAAAACAUCGGUGAAGAUCGUGUGAUUGGUCCAUCCGGCGAUGUCUUUUGGUAUAACCCGUCGGAAGGUUCAAUGGUUAGACAAGAAGAAAAGUUGAAGACAAAAACAAGUUAGUUAACACUCUUCACACGUUUAUGACCCCUAAAACCUCGUGGUUGGAGAGUGCAAUGAAGAGAAGCUGAGCCGAGCUACUGAAGAAGCCAGCCAGCCAACAAACGAGCAAAAGUGUCCAAAACCCUCGAAAGCCAAAGUUUCACGCUGACUGAGCAUGGAAAGAAGAACCCAUGGCACGGCCACAAUUCGUCGGUUUUCCAUUACCCUCAAAUGAAGUACGUAUUUGACGGAGGAGAGAAGAAAAGGACUAACCUUGGGCCAAACAGACUUGAUUAUUGUACAAUAUUACACAAUAUGAUUCAUCCCAUGCUCCUCGACGCUUCAGUAGGACUUUUCUUCGUUAUACGUUGUAGUUCUCGUACUAAAGAUUUUUGACCCGGUCGAUUAGUUGCCACAGGUUGAGAGCAACCUUGGCCAGAACCACGGAUCUGGUCCCAAGUACCCGAAGAUGUUGUGACCAAAGAAUGAUAUCAGCCUUGGACUCUCCAUUCCCCUUGAAAUGGUUAUGUAGGCACUGAUGGUAUAGUUCCAUUUUUGGUUGAGGCCGUUUCAUCGAGGGACGAGCCGUUGGGCACCAUUUUUCUGGAAUGAUGCACUCAUAUCGUCCACACGAAGAAAGCAACGAGGGGCUAAACAAACAUAGUGUGUACUCCAUGCAGAACUGUCCUUCUUCUCAAUCCAUUCUUUACCCCCAUGAACGAGGACAGAUAUUUGAAAAGAGCAUUGCACUCGAAACAGAUCUGGCUGCCGCAUUCGUAUUAUCGUGCUACUAGUACUACGUAUGUACGUAUGCUUUACCCCAUACACCGCCACUCCUCACUAGGGAUGGACGUACACACGGGGCCAUCUAGGGAAGGUUCAAUAUUGAACCAAGAUUGUUGAUAUAUGACCCAGCUCCGUAUUACCGUACUCCCGGACUACUACAGAGUCGUAUGGGUCUACCCAAUGUCCCUCGGCCAACGCUCUCCAACAAGAAUAGGGGGAAUUGCAUGCAUUCAUGUAUGUAAAGCCUGUUCGCCUCUUCUGUCACCCUCUCACAUGAGAGGAUAUGAGGAUGAGACGUUGAUG